ACGAACGCUGGCGGCAGGCUUAACACAUGCAAGUCGAGCGCCUCGCAAGAGGAGCGGCAGACGGGUGAGUAACGCGUGGGAAUCUACCCAUCUCUACGGAACAACUCCGGGAAACUGGAGCUAAUACCGUAUACGUCCUUCGGGAGAAAGAUUUAUCGGAGAUGGAUGAGCCCGCGUUGGAUUAGCUAGUUGGUGGGGUAAUGGCCUACCAAGGCGACGAUCCAUAGCUGGUCUGAGAGGAUGAUCAGCCACAUUGGGACUGAGACACGGCCCAAACUCCUACGGGAGGCAGCAGUGGGGAAUAUUGGACAAUGGGCGAAAGCCUGAUCCAGCCAUGCCGCGUGAGUGAUGAAGGCCCUAGGGUUGUAAAGCUCUUUCAACGGUGAAGAUAAUGACGGUAACCGUAGAAGAAGCCCCGGCUAACUUCGUGCCAGCAGCCGCGGUAAUACGAAGGGGGCUAGCGUUGUUCGGAAUUACUGGGCGUAAAGCGCACGUAGGCGGAUAUUUAAGUCAGGGGUGAAAUCCCGGGGCUCA
RNAcentral lists this ribosomal RNA (534 nucleotides) under Mesorhizobium sp. E123. RNAcentral's name for it is "bacterial SSU rRNA". It matches the Rfam family "Bacterial small subunit ribosomal RNA", at positions 29 to 611 of the family's 1533-position model. The record is from RNAcentral. Lineage: Bacteria; Pseudomonadati; Pseudomonadota; Alphaproteobacteria; Hyphomicrobiales; Phyllobacteriaceae.